AAGGAAAAAGUUCAGUUUAGGGUUUAAAACCCUAAUGCUGAUUGCAUGAAAAAGCUCAGUUUAGAGUUUAAAACUCUAAUGCUGGAUGAAAGGAAAAAGUUCAGUUUAGGGUUUAAAACCCUAAUGCUGACUAAAAGGAAAAUUCAGUUUAGGGUUUAAAACCCUAAUGCUGAUUGCAUGAAAAAGCUCAGUUUAGAGUUUAAAACUCUAAUGCUGGCUGAAAGGAAAAUUCAGUUUAGGGUUUAAAACCCUAAUGCUGAUUGCAUGAAAAAGCUCAGUUUAGAGUUUAAAACUCUAAUGCUGGCUGAAAGGGAAAAGUUCAGUUUAGGGUUUAAAACCCUAAUGCUGACUAAAAGGAAAAUUCAGUUUAGGGUUUAAAACCCUAAUGCUGAUUGCAUGAACAAGCUCAGUUUAGAGUUUAGAACUCUAAUGCUGGCUGAAAGGAAAAUUCAGUUUAGGGUUUAAAACCCUAAUGCUGAUUGCAUGAAAAAGCUCAGUUUAGAGUUUAAAACUCUAAUGCUGGCUAAAAGGAAAAGUUCAGUUUAAGGUUUAAAACCCUAAUGCUGACUAAAAGGAGAAUUCAGUUUAGGGUUUAAAACCCUAAUGCUGAUUGCAUGAAAAAGCUCAGUUUAGAGUUUAAAACUCUAAUGCUGGCUAAAAGGAAAAAGUUCAGUUUAGGGUUUAAAACCCUAAUGCUGACUAAAAGAAAAAUUCAGUUUAGGGUUUAAAACCCUAAUGCUGAUUGCAUGAAAAAGCUCAGUUUAGAGUUUAAAACUCUAAUGCUGGAUGAAAGGAAAAAGUUCAGUUUAGGGUUUAAAACCCUAAUGCUGACUAAAAGGAAAACUCAGUUUAGGGUUUAAAACCCUAAUGCUGAUUGCAUGAAAAAGCU
This 889-nucleotide long non-coding RNA is filed under the name Nicotiana tabacum (common tobacco). Its description in RNAcentral is "long non-coding RNA (NTAB_LNC012267)". Lineage: Eukaryota; Viridiplantae; Streptophyta; Magnoliopsida; Solanales; Solanaceae. The record is from RNAcentral.